UUAACUCAUAUUUGUAUGGAAUGGGAUCGUUUGCGUACGUUUGCCGCUAGGGGCGCUGUUCCAAUUGCAUACAAAAUUGGCUUA
Molecule: non-coding RNA, 84 nt
Organism: Bombyx mori (domestic silkworm)
Lineage: Eukaryota; Metazoa; Arthropoda; Insecta; Lepidoptera; Bombycidae
Source: Rfam